This 253-nucleotide ribosomal RNA is filed under the name uncultured bacterium. Its description in RNAcentral is "partial 16S ribosomal RNA". It matches the Rfam family "Bacterial small subunit ribosomal RNA", at positions 524 to 776 of the family's 1533-position model. The record is from RNAcentral.
UACGGAGGGNGCGAGCGUUAAUCGGAAUUACUGGGCGUAAAGCGCACGCAGGCGGUUUGUUAAGCUAGAUGUGAAAGCCCCGGGCUCAACCUGGGAUGGUCAUUUAGAACUGGCAGACUAGAGUCUUGGAGAGGGGAGUGGAAUUCCAGGUGUAGCGGUGAAAUGCGUAGAUAUCUGGAGGAACAUCAGUGGCGAAGGCGACUCCCUGGCCAAAGACUGACGCUCAUGUGCGAAAGUGUGGGUAGCGAACAGG